AUCAAAUAACAUAGCGUCUGCGAUACACGAUUACACAUUGUGUUACAAAAACCAGAUAGCAAAACAUUGCAGAUACAAUUAUUAGAAAUAGUUCGUUGGAAACAUUGAAGAGGCCCAACAAGUUAACCCUGAACUCGCUUAGGUUGAGAUGGGUGACAAAUAUUUCCACCUAAAACAAACAUAAAUAUCAUAUAAGCUGCAAUAUACCUUGAUUAAUAAGCUUACUCACCGAUUUCAUCCAAUGCUUUGACUUUCCAACGAGGAAAAUAUCCAGAGCACGUUCCCGAGUUUGUUUAAAUUGAUUUGCCGCUUCUUGAAUGGCCAAAACAGGAAGGAGCGUUUGGAUCAAAUUUUUAAGCGAGAAUGACCAAAUCCGAAAGUCAGAAAACCCUAAAUCGAUGAUCAUUUUAUACCAAACGACUAGAACUUGCAGAAGUGUCAAGAGUGCGCUCAAAAAUAGGUGUACAUUGAAAAUGUCCUGCAAGGAGGCUUAGGUGCCAAAUAAAACCGAAACACAUGAUCGAAUUACAUAUAAUAAACACAUAUGUAUAGCUAACCCACCAAAUAAUAUGUUGAAAACCACAAAGUCUGCUCGCUAUGACCAAUAUAAAAACAUAUUCAUGAAUCUGACAACAAACCGAAAGAAUUAGCAGGAACAACUCUCUACCGCCUCCAAAUUGACUUCUUCUACGGAUGUCCAGGGUUCCCAGGCGAAAGAUGUGCAGAUAUUGGUUAACCAACUUGGUCACUUCCGGGCCAUGACAGAUCUUCAAGUGAAUUAUCGAUAAGUAGCAGGGUAUCGAAACCACUAGACUACAUGAGUGCAGAAAUUUUUCGGUAAUUAGCAUUCUAUUGCUGAUCCAUUCAGCAUACGUAAACGCAUAGAUGCAGAGGGGCACAAUCCGUAAGGUAACCGAUAUCCACUUCCACCGCGACCGAUUACUCCAAAUUUCCUCCAGCCACACAUUGUUGUCCUUCUGUUUUCUAAGCCGAAAGCACACUAAGCUCAAAAAUCUGGCGUAAAAGGACAUAAAACGAAGGAUUCCGACGGAAUAUUUUGUAGCCUUCAUCUCCCGGAAACGAAGGAGUUCCUGUUUCCAUAAUUCCCCGAACGUAAUUGAC
This is a non-coding RNA of Drosophila melanogaster (fruit fly), 1122 nucleotides long. Lineage: Eukaryota; Metazoa; Arthropoda; Insecta; Diptera; Drosophilidae. The record is from Ensembl.